This 359-nucleotide transfer-messenger RNA is filed under the name Verrucomicrobiaceae bacterium. It matches the Rfam family "transfer-messenger RNA". Rfam says of the family: Bacterial tmRNA, also known as 10Sa RNA or SsrA, is named for its dual tRNA and mRNA-like properties. Its role is to liberate the mRNA from a stalled ribosome. Lineage: Bacteria; Pseudomonadati; Verrucomicrobiota; Verrucomicrobiia; Verrucomicrobiales; Verrucomicrobiaceae. The record is from RNAcentral.
GGGGGCGUUCCGGUUUCGACGGGAUGUUUGACGCGCUGGUUGCACGUGGAGGUUGAUCGGUUGGCCUCCUAAAAAAGCCGUUCAAAACAAAUAAAUGCAGACUCUAACGAGCUCGCACUGGCCGCUUAAUUGACGACCACGCCUGAACCCCAACGCCUGCUGAGGGGGAUGGCGACACUUUAGCAGGCUGGGAUAGGAAUCGGGUGACCGGGUUCCUUUCCGAGACUCAACAGGUUUCUAGGACGGGCAACGCCGCAUGCGGGCCUAGACCGUCCGAAACUCCAGACCGCAUGAUAAACGUGUAGAUGCCUGUGCUGACGGUGUUUCGGACAGGGGUUCGACUCCCCUCGCCUCCACCA